UGCCUUUUCCGCCAAAGGAGGCGACUCCGGUGCCGGCUGGGCACGCGUGACAUUAGCUAGUUGGCGGGGCGACGGCCCACCAAGGCGACGAUGUCUAGGGGUUCUGAGAGGAAGGUCCCCCACACUGGUACUGAGACACGGACCAGACUCCUACGGGAGGCAGCAG
RNAcentral lists this ribosomal RNA (166 nucleotides) under uncultured bacterium. Its description in RNAcentral is "partial 16S ribosomal RNA". It matches the Rfam family "Bacterial small subunit ribosomal RNA", at positions 190 to 354 of the family's 1533-position model. The record is from RNAcentral.